UCAUAUUGAGAAAACCAUUGAACAUAAUAGAACAUAAUAAAUCAUUUAACGAGAUAUGCAAUUCGUAACAUAACCAAUUAAUAUUAUACUUUUACUACAGUAUUUUAUUUUUAGGGUUGGUCUCAUCAUCUUCGACUAACUUAAUCGGCUGAUUAUUCCAUUGAAUUUAACUAAUUGCAAGCUGAUUUAAGAAGAAUUAUUCGAACAUGGUUGACAUGCCAAUUUUGCCAGUUUUGCCAGUUUAAUCAAGCUAAUCAAGAUAAUCAAAGAUGGUAAAACUAUAGCAUUGGCAAGAAGAAAACAAUCUGCCGAAUACAUCAUCAUAGACAUCAUAAUCAGUCAUCUUGCAACUGUAAGCAAAAGCCAAUACAAUUAUUGCAAUUGUUUGCGAAAAGGAUUCUUACAAUGGGCAAGGGCAUCUAUGUUUUGCGGUGUAAGAAUCCAUCCCUUCAAAUUAGCCUUACCUCAAUUUAGUCUUUCUAAAUUUGAACAAUAAUUCUUUAAUUCUAUUGCGAUUGCAUCUAAUAUGUUUUGACCCGUUCCUGCUAAAUCUAAAUCACGCAUCUGUCUAUUUCUCUGCAGUAUUUCACAUAAAGUAUUAGUUUCUAAUGUGCAUAUCUCUCGAAGAUGUAAACAUUCUAAAAACUGUAAAUUUUUUAGAUAUGAAAUACCUUUGUUUGUUA
Long non-coding RNA from Wasmannia auropunctata (little fire ant), 683 nucleotides. RefSeq lists it as uncharacterized. Lineage: Eukaryota; Metazoa; Arthropoda; Insecta; Hymenoptera; Formicidae. The transcript is spliced from 4 exons. The record is from RefSeq and is a predicted model, not a curated record.